RNAcentral lists this long non-coding RNA (225 nucleotides) under Hordeum vulgare. RNAcentral's name for it is "long non-coding RNA (HVUL_LNC015418)". Lineage: Eukaryota; Viridiplantae; Streptophyta; Magnoliopsida; Poales; Poaceae. The record is from RNAcentral.
UUUUUUUCUUAUUCUCUUUUUCUCUUCUUCUCUUCUUCUCUUCUUCUUCUCUUCUUCUUUACUUCUUCUCCUUCUUAUUUUUUUCUUCUCUUCUUCUUCUUCUUCUUCUUCUCCUUUUAUUUUUUUUUCUCCUCUUCUUCUUCUUCUUCUUCUUCUUCUCCUCCUCCUCCUACUCCUCUUCUUAUUCUCCUCUUCUCCUCCUCCUCCUCCUCUUCUUCUUCCUCC